Molecule: long non-coding RNA, 1987 nt
Organism: Hirundo rustica (Barn swallow)
Lineage: Eukaryota; Metazoa; Chordata; Aves; Passeriformes; Hirundinidae
Exons: 4
Source: RefSeq, a predicted model, not a curated record
GCAGUUUAUACAAACAGAGACAAAGAAGAGGGACUCAGGUAAAUUUUUUCUGCUGCAAAAGUCUCAGACGUGGUGUUAACACCUCACAGAGUGUUUCCCUGGCCAGCUAUCCCUGCCAAGGCAGAGGCUUUAACACAGAGAGCUGUGCUGCCAAGUGGAGGAAUUACAGGAGAACAGCAUCAGAGAAGAGGAAAGAGAGGUAGAGAGAGGUACCAUUUCUCUGAAAUGGACAGCUUGAAGAGUUGAAUCCCAUUCACAACAGCGGGGCAGGAGAUAUUCUCCCCCGGUAUUAAGUCAUAUAAGACACUGCUGAGUCUGGGUCAUGAAGUUAAAGAAGAAAUGAAAGGGUCUGAUUCUUCAUCUUUUGAAGUCCCAUGGGUAUAUUUUCCAGAAAGUGGACUUCUACCAGGUGAAGUCCUGAUGUUUGAGGCAUCCCUGUCUAAGCCCGAGCUGCCCUGCAUGGAAGGGACCUUACUGUUUCAGGAGAGGGGCAUGUGGCAAGUUCUGAAGCUGACAACAUCCCAACCUGUGCCUCUGAAACGGCAUCUGAGUGCUUCCUUGGAGCAGGAUCAGCCAUCCGCCCCUCCUGCUCCCUGGGCAGGGUGUGUAGGGCUGCCAAACCAUGGGCAGGGGCCGUGGGAUGCACCUGGACCUCCCUGUGGACCACAGGAGCCGCAACCUGCUGGACUUGAGCCAGGCCUAACUAUGGAGGACAUCCCUGCCAGCACGGCAGGACUGCGAGCGCAGUGGGGUUUCAGUACCUCGUCACAGGAGCUGAAGUGCUGGAGAGCUGAGAUCUCUCUCUGCAGCAGGUGCUGCUACUUGCUCCUUCUGGUUUUUUCUGCCCACACACUGACCCUGUCUAAAAGUUAGCAGAUUGUGUAGUUCAAUGAGGCUGUAAUAAAAUGUAGUGGGAUUGCAGGUAGGCUGCUUUCUGCUGCACUAGUGUUGUUUAAUGGGCUCAGAUUUGUCAUUAUCCUUGGUUGGUACAGCUCUGACUGGCAAAGCCCAUGACCAUUUGCUAAAAGGGGGUGAUAUGGGGGUGCUUUUGCUGCUUUAUGGCCCUCAUUUCUCCAGAUGCACUAUUUCUUCAUGUUUAACCUGUGCAAAUAGUCUGUCUCAACACAUUUUGCAUUCUGGGGAGGGGAGCAGAACACUGAGAGAAUGAAUUCCUUCCAUGGUAGAAGCAGCUGGAUAGAUUUACCCGAAAACAGGAUUUGUUUAGCAUAAGGAAGAGAGUAUAUUGAGGAUGAUUCAUGGCUGUGUACCCCCACCUCACACAAGGGCACAGAGGAGACCGAGUCGGGCCUGACGAUCCAUGUGGGUCCCUCCCAUCUCAGCUUACUCCAUCACUCUCUUGAAGGUGCACACUGAUAGGAGAGGCAGCAGCCACAAGUCAAGGGAAAUGGAUGUCAGACAUGAAGAAAACUUUCUCCCACGCCGGCAUGGAUGCCAAUGGAGGUACGGCCUCUGGUGAAUGCAUUGGAGGACCUGGCCCUGUGCAACCUGACCUCACUCAGCUGGUUUCUCCCAGCCUAAAAUCCUCUGUGGAGUCUUCAGUUUGAUGCUGCUAAAUGGAUAUCUGGCUGUUUCUUGUGCUCAGUAACACACCUUUUGUUAUUCCACCUGCUACAGCCCAAACUUCCCCUGUUUGCAUUUUCACUUAGAGCAGUGGAGGAAUGAAGCACCGUGAAACAGGCUUCUCUGAAGUUUCUAGCAAUGCAGGAUGUCAGUCUAUUUAUAGCAACAUCUGUAGCUUGGGAGACCUUUGAUGACUUCAUUUCAGAAUAUAUAUCUCUCUUCAUCUGAUCUGUCUCCUAUGCUCAGUGUGAUGUUUCCUGUUGCACUGCAUUUAUUCAGCAUGUAUAGUGCCUAUUUUCCAGAGACAAGCAACAGCAGAAAAUCAUUUAUCACAACCGGUGUGAUUAAAAAAAAAAAAAAAAGCAAAACCAGACGUUGAAGGUUAGUCAGGGAUAAUCUGUUUCAA